Molecule: ribosomal RNA, 778 nt
Filed under: uncultured bacterium
Lineage: Bacteria
Description: bacterial SSU rRNA
Rfam family: Bacterial small subunit ribosomal RNA
Source: RNAcentral
GACGAACGCUGGCGGCGCGCCUAACACGUGCAAGUCGAACGGAGUGGCGGACGGGUGAGUAACACGUGAGCAACCUGCCCUUCAGAGCGGGAUAACGUUUGGAAACGAGCGCUAAUACUGCAUGCUGAAGGAUGGGCUCGCGUCCGAUUAGGUAGUUGGUGAGAUAACAGCCCACCAAGCCGACGAUCGGUAGCCGGACUGAGAGGUUGAUCGGCCACAUUGGGACUGAGACACAGCCCAGACUCCUACGGGAGGCAGCAGUGGGGGAUAUUGCACAAUGGGGAAACCUGAUCAGCGACGCCGCGUGAGGGAAGACGGUUUUCGGAUUGUAAACCUCUGUCUUUGGGGACGCGGUACCCAAGGAGGAAGCCACGGCUAACUACGUGCCAGCAGCCGCGGUAAUACGUAGUGGCAAGCGUUGUCCGGAAUUACUGGGUGUAAAGGGAGCGUAGGCGGGCUACAAGUUACUGUAUAAACGAUCGGCUCAACUGGUCGUGGCGAUAAAACUGUAGAUCUCGAGUGGAGUAGAGGCAGGCGGAAUUCCUAGUGUAGCGGUGAAAUGCGUAGAUAUUAGGAGGAACACCAGUGGCGAAGGCGGUCUGCUGGGCUCUAACUGACGCUGAGGCUCGAAAGCGUGGGUAGCAAACAGGAUUAGAUACCCUGGUAGUCCACGCCGUAAACGAUGAUUACUAGGUGUGGGUCCGUGCCGGAGUUAACACAAUAAGUAAUCCACCUGGGGAGUACGACCGCAAGGUUGCAACUCAAAGGAAUUGACGGA